GAUGAACGCUGGCGGCGUGCUUAACACAUGCAAGUCGAACGAAGCAUCUGCGACAGUUUUUUUCGGAAUGAAGUGGCUUAUGACUGAGUGGCGGACGGGUGAGUAACGCGUGGGUAACCUGCCUUGUACUGGGGGAUAGCAGCUGGAAACGGCUGGUAAUACCGCAUAGGCGCACAAAGUGGCAUGACAUGGUGUGAAAAAGUCCGGUGGGAUAAGAUGGACACGCGCCUGAUUAGCUAGUUGGGGAGUUCACAGCCCACCAAGGCGACGAGGAGUAGCCGAGCUGAGAGGGUGGGCGGAGACAUUGGGACUGAGACACGGCCCAGAAUCCUACGGGAGGCAGGAGUGGGGAAUAUUGCACAAUGGAGGAAACUCUGAUGCAGCGACGCCGGGUGAGUGAAGAAGUAAUUCGUUAUGUAAAGCUCUAUCAGCAGGGAAGAUAGUGACGGUACCUGACUAAGAAGCCCCGGCUAAAUACGUG
RNAcentral lists this ribosomal RNA (481 nucleotides) under uncultured bacterium. Its description in RNAcentral is "partial 16S ribosomal RNA". It matches the Rfam family "Bacterial small subunit ribosomal RNA", at positions 28 to 507 of the family's 1533-position model. The record is from RNAcentral.